Molecule: long non-coding RNA, 1150 nt
Organism: Diabrotica virgifera virgifera (western corn rootworm)
Lineage: Eukaryota; Metazoa; Arthropoda; Insecta; Coleoptera; Chrysomelidae
Exons: 3
Source: RefSeq, a predicted model, not a curated record
UAUAUUUUUUUAAAUUUUGCAAGGAUCCCAAAUGGAUAAAUAUUUUUGUUGGUAAAGAGUUUUGAAAAAUAAUAGUUGUUUGUGCUUUCAUGAUGCAACUUGUAAAUUAAAAUGACAGUGACUUUGACCUUUGACAGCUGCGUCAAAAUUUUGUUUUGACAUACACUGUCCAACAAGUUCUUUUGUCAUUCUUUUGUUAUGUUAAAUUGAAGAUUUUUUUUGUAAUGUAAAAGAUUUGUAGAUAUUUUGUCCUGUAAAAUCAUUUCCUGUUAAAAGUUUUUUUUGUUUGUUUAAAAAAAAACCACCGUAAAGUUUUAAAUAAAUGUUUGUGAAAGUGUAUCUAUCAUCUCAUUUCUGUAGCCUUUGGAAAAAUUUUAACAGAAAACUAAUGCAACUGUAUGAAAGUUUUAGUUCAGGAGAAAAGAAAGAAUAUGGCAUAGAAGCCAAUAAUAAGGAAAGAUGUUGUCCCAAUGUAACCCCAAAGAGGAAUCAAUGAUGAUUGUCCCCCCGAUUGGUACCCGUAAGUAAGAAAGUAUCCAGUAAGUACCCAUAGGUGAAAUAGAGGAUUUAUUUCAAACGGCGUCCCUUUUUGUUAAAUAGUAGAAAGAUCCUCUAGUCAGAGUAAGAAUCGACUUCCAGUUCGAUCCAAUGAUUAUCACUAACAGUGACUCACAGCAAAAAUGACCACAAUAUGGAAGGACUGUCAAAUUUCAAGAGUGUUAAAGAUGAGGUUGAUAAACUGCUUAAUAUUCCCAAUACUCACCUACGGAUGUGAAUCUUGGAUCCUGAGAAAUUCGGAAAGAAGACAGAUAGACGUCAGUGAAAUGUUCUGUUGGAGACGAAUGCUACGAAUUCCUUGGACCCACCAUAGGACAAAUAAUUCAAUUUUAAGAGAGCUAUAAGUUAGCCAACGACUCUCCAGUAAAGUCCAUCUCCAACAAUUAAAAUACUUUGGGCAUGGUACGAGAGCAAACACAGAAAACUAGACCAGUCGGGAUAGCAUUUGACCUUGCAUUAGGAGCUGCCCCAAAUUUUAUUUUUCUAAUCUUUAGAGAGGGUCAAUAUUAGUACAAAUUUAAAAUCUCGACUGAAUUCCGCCGUUGCGUUAGCCGCCAUCUUGAUUUGAAACGAGAACCGUUUUUGCUCAAUA